GAGGUUGCGGCUCAGUGGUAGAGUGCUCGCCUGGCAUGUGUGAGGCCCUGGGUUCGAUCCUCAGCACCGCA
Molecule: transfer RNA, 71 nt
Filed under: Marmota monax (woodchuck)
Lineage: Eukaryota; Metazoa; Chordata; Mammalia; Rodentia; Sciuridae
Description: tRNA.Ala
Rfam family: tRNA
About the family: Transfer RNA (tRNA) molecules are approximately 80 nucleotides in length.
Source: RNAcentral